Dermochelys coriacea (leatherback sea turtle) is the source of this 3771-nucleotide long non-coding RNA. RefSeq lists it as uncharacterized. The transcript has 3 exons. The record is from RefSeq and is a predicted model, not a curated record. Lineage: Eukaryota; Metazoa; Chordata; Testudines; Dermochelyidae.
AGGAGACUUUGGAAUUGUUGGAGUUCUGUGUUGGAAGACAUUCCUUGUCGCUCUUGAAAAUCUUGGUGCCAGCCUCAGAAGAAAGACCGAGGGUUGAAUGAAUGAUGGAGGUUUGCAGAAAUUGGGAAAUGCCCCAGCUGGGAUGCAUACAUCCCUCCUGCAUGCAUCUGGGUAUUGGCGUAAUCAAGCCCGAGUGGGAGCUGCUGGGUGCUCGAAUGCUCGGUCCCAGAGGUCAUGAUCCGAAAUGUCAGGGCUUGUACGUUAUUAUUUAUCAUUACUAUUGCAGUAGUAUUUGGAGACCUCAAGGGAGACUAGGUACUGUACAUCCACAGAGAGAUAAUUCCUCCUGCUCUUAACUGCUCGCAAUCUCAAUCGAGAACACAGAGGAAAGGAGGACUCCUAUCUCUGAGUGGCAGAUGGAGAAGCUGAGGUCCAGAGAGAUUUAAGUAAACUGCAGAGUGGACAGGUGCAGAGACUCUCUGUUCUAGCAAGAAAGCAAAGAACAGAGCCGUGUCAUCCAGCACCUGUGAACGGGGUACACCAUCCUGGUCAGAAAUCUUACAGAAGAUGAGAACCGAUCUCCGAGGAAAAGUCCGUGGUUCCAAGAAGUGUCGCUGCUGAAUGUUUGAUUCCUUCCCCGGCACCGAGGGCGGCCCGGGAUGUUAAUUUUUUUUAUCCGCAGCAUAUGGCAGCCUGUCCCAAGUGGCAUAACAGCCCCUCGCCCAGGCGAGCCUUUCCGAGUGUGGGCAGAAGCAUUUCAGAUGCUCGGAACAUGAAAAACCAGGAGUCUUAGGCCAGUGUGGUUGGCAGAAAGAGCAGCAGUGGGAGCCUCUGCUGGUAGAAGCCUGAGCACAGCACUCCCAGUGCGGCUUCCCUGGGGCUAAACGUACAGAAGGGGGGGGGGGAGUGGAAAAUGCUAGAAAAAUGAAGUCCCGCAACACGUGACUCAAAAUGGCAAUGGGCCAGAUUCUCUUUUCUACCAAGGCCCCUUUUUGCUGCUCCAGGAGGGCCGUGAAGUAGACUGAAAUUACAUUUACACACCCUUUAAGAGCUCUUUGCACAGUUAAAGAACUGGAAAGGGGUCCUAGAGUGAAUAAGAAUCAGGACAAAUAGGUCUGACCCUCUUCAUGCUUUGGCCUGACUAAUUCCAUUGAUUUGAAUGGGGAUUAUUCCUGAUUUACACCAGGGUGAGAUAAGAAUCAGACUGAUAUAAUAUUAGGGUUGGAUUUUCAUUUACACACAGGCUCUGGCAGUGCAAAGGGGCUUUGCAACAGGUGUAUAUUGCAGUUACAUUCACUCUACAUUUCACUGCCAGAAUGGUGUAAAGAAGCUGUGCUACAAAUGAGAAUCUCGGCCUAUGGUCUCUGAAUGCUGUGUAAAGGGGAUUUGCUCUAAUUAGACGGAGGCCCCUAAUAUUGUCUGUUGUCCUGUCCUGUCUGGAGCAAUGUGGCAGAUUUACAGGUACACAUCCGUUAAGGGCCAGAUCCUUAUCUCAUGUACUUCAUCCUCAGAACUGAUGGACCGCAUCCAUCUAUCACAGAAGGAGCUGUGAGUUGCAAAGGAAGCAAAAUCAAGUCUUUAAUAUGUAUUAUUGAAUUCUACUUAAAACCGAGUUUCGUCACUUAGAGAGAGAUCCUCAAAUGGUGUGAACUGGGGUGGUAGUUUCAUUGAAUCUGGUGGUUAGGUGGAUUUGCACCAGCUGAGGAUCUGAACGUUUUAAAUAUUUGUCUUUCUAAUGUUUUAUUUUUUUCUGUUUUGGGCUGAUGCAUUACGGUGGAUGAACUGCAUCUAGCAGCAGUAGCGUUGGUGAUGACAGCUACAGGGAAACAUAUUCGGUUUUGUUAUUUUAAUUGUUAGACUCUCUGUCUGUUUGAGCUGGUUGGGAAAUGACUUUCAUUUUCCUGGUGGAAAUGUUGUCAAAAUAAUUUUUCUAAAAUUUUGGGGGCUUCCUUCAAAAAAACACAAAUGAUUUUCAGUUGCCAAUUUUAAAAUAAUUUUUUUUCUUUUAACACUGACGUUUUUCACUUUUCCAGCAAAUACAGUUGUCAUUUUUCCAUGAGAAAUUCCAUUUCGUCAAAGCCACUUGGUGUAGGGGGAAAAAGUUUUGAUGCACGUGUCUGAUCAGUUCUGUCUAGCUGUCUAUCCUGUACCUAAUCAGAAAAUGCUGCUUUUUUCCUGUGCAUCCCAACAUAAAACUCAGCAAACAAUUUUUCCAUUUCAUUGGUGAGGCAAACUUUUUUUUUUAAAUCAUAGUUUAUAUGAAAGAUAAUUUACAAAAUAAUUUAGGCUCAUAAAGGAUGAGCAAAGCUUUCAAUGGUGGCUAAAUCAACUGGCACAGUGUUCAUCAAAUCACCUCCGCUUAUAAUCAUGUCUCAUAAUGAUCUGUAAUGCCUUCUACUAAUUUGCUUAUAAAUGUCUAUAGCACAGACUGCUCAUGUUUGUACUAUGCCUAUAACAUUAACGUGUCCUUUACUAACUCUUUAUAUACUGUUUAUAAAUGUAUCUGAAUCUAAAGUAUGCCCAAAAGGGGGGAAAAUAUUGUAACCAACUGAGAACAAGCCCUCUUCAACAAUGCAUGUUUUUUUAAAACAAAAAUACAUGUAUAUAUUCUAUAUCAGCACAGCACAACUUUUGAUUAAUCAAAACCAUGCCAAAAUCCAACUGUGAAUAUACCGUAUGCAUUUCUGAUUUAUUGUAUUCGCUAUCGAUGACCAUAAAGGUUAGAGCCUCCACCCCAAUAGAGCUGAAAAGGCCAUCGUGUAUUCUCAGGUACAGGAAGCUUAAAUAUAAAAUCCAUGCACAACAGACAUACAGAUACCGCUCCCUUUAUUGCCUUAAGCAUAACCUUAUAAAUUAAAGGUGAAAACACCUUAGUACCAGCCGUGCUCUGAGUUUAGUAGGAGUUCUUCAGUUGAGUUCAAUAGACUUGAUUCUCAUUUACACUGAAGACUGCUUAAUAAUAAUAAUUAAUAAAUCUAGCUCUUAUAGCACUGUUCAGCAGUAGAUCUCAAAGCACUUUAGAAAGAAGGUGAGUAGCACCAUUCCCAUUUUACAGAUGGGGGAAACUGAGGGGAAGUGACAUGCCCAAGGUCACCCAGAAGCCCCACACCACUCUGGCAGUGUGAAGAGGUACCAUAGUGAGGGUAACUGUACUUCACAUCCACUUUAAGGCUUUUUACACGGAUGGAACACUGUGAAGGGGUCUUAAUGUAAAUGCCACUUGGGUGCAACUAUACUGAUUUGGGAUUAUAUUACCUUCCUAUUGCACUGUUGUAAAUGAGUGUACAAGAUGCUGGAUGAAUCUGGUUCUUGGCCUUUAAUUGCCGGCAUGUAAACAGCAGUAAAAGGAGAGAAGGGAACACCCAAACUAAUCCUUUUCAAAGGGAAAUGUGGGGUGCUAUGUGUGUGGGGAGGGAAAUUUGGCUCCUAUUCAAAUAGAAUAAAAUAAAUCCCUAUAUAGAAUCUCAGAUGAUAACUCAGGUUAUAUCCAUUUCAGGCUGAGGAGUUUGCCAUCUCUUCUGUUCCUGCAGAGGUUGGCGUGGGUGAUGUAUCUGUUAUAAACAGAUUUUUGUUGCUUUUUAGUUAAUUUCUGCAGGCAUAUCUCUUCCUUCCCUCCCUACCUGUCCCUGGCAUGAUCUUUUUCUCACUGAAAGCUUUUGUGUGUGUUCUUUGUUCCUUGUUAAUCACACCAAUCUUACCUAAAGGCAGAUUAAUUAAAAUAAAGCAGCCAGCCCAAAAAUAAAUCCACAAACAAAUAAAAAUGUUGAUAUC